UUUUGCUCCUGAGAAGAGGAGCACGCCGUGGUUUGUUAAUCAUUGCAGCAAACCAGCCAGAACUUGCAAAAGGCAAACAACUUCUCACGUUUCUUCCCAAACAAACCGACAGGUCCACUGGAUCCUUUGGGACAAAAGUGAUCCGAAAGAAGCACUUCAUCUUGUGUGAGCCGGGCCUCUGUGUCACCUGGAGCAUGACCCCAAAAUGAGAAGCGUCAGGAAGGGGAUCCAUUCCCUGAGGAGAGGAGGACUACCAUCAGAAGACAAGUGAAGGCCAAGCAACAGAGGAGAGCCUGAAGGAUGCAGCAGAGAAGGGCAGCAGGAGUUGAAGCAGAGGAAGCAGUCAAUGGACAUCAGAGAUUGAAUUCUAAGGCUCUGCCCUUUGAGUGAGUAUGAUAAUUAUUGUUUGUCCCCUCAAUUUUACUAAGGGAGAAUGAUUUGGGAAAAGCACUCUACCUAAAAUUGGGGAUAUAUGAACACUGUUUGGCUCUCUUUCUUUUCAUUGAAUCUUCUUUUCUGUGACGCACCUAUUAAUUAUAGGAAGCCGUUGCACAAGAUCUUCCUUUUUAUCUGUCUGUGGCAGAAUGAUGCUUAUAUUGUAUAUAGAUAAAGCUAAAUCACAGUCUGUCUUUUUCACCUCUAAAUAUAAAGCUGUACAAGAAGAGUUCUUUUGG
Molecule: long non-coding RNA, 674 nt
Organism: Gambusia affinis (western mosquitofish)
Lineage: Eukaryota; Metazoa; Chordata; Actinopteri; Cyprinodontiformes; Poeciliidae
Exons: 3
Source: RefSeq, a predicted model, not a curated record